This 301-nucleotide ribosomal RNA is filed under the name uncultured bacterium. Its description in RNAcentral is "partial 16S ribosomal RNA". It matches the Rfam family "Bacterial small subunit ribosomal RNA", at positions 509 to 807 of the family's 1533-position model. The record is from RNAcentral.
CAGUCGCCGCGGGAAAACGGAGGGAGCUAGCGUUGUUCGGAAUUACUGGGCGUAAAGCGCGCGUAGGCGGUUACUCAAGUCAGAGGUGAAAGCCCGGGGCUCAACCCCGGAACUGCCUUUGAAACUAGGUGACUAGAAUCUUGGAGAGGUCAGUGGAAUUCCGAGUGUAGAGGUGAAAUUCGUAGAUAUUCGGAAGAACACCAGUGGCGAAGGCGACUGACUGGACAAGUAUUGACGCUGAGGUGCGAAAGCGUGGGGAGCAAACAGGAUUAGAUACCCGGGUAGUCCCUGUCUCUUAUAC